RNAcentral lists this ribosomal RNA (255 nucleotides) under Enterobacter hormaechei. RNAcentral's name for it is "partial 16S ribosomal RNA". It matches the Rfam family "Bacterial small subunit ribosomal RNA", at positions 344 to 591 of the family's 1533-position model. Lineage: Bacteria; Pseudomonadati; Pseudomonadota; Gammaproteobacteria; Enterobacterales; Enterobacteriaceae. The record is from RNAcentral.
GGAGGCAGCAGUGGGGAAUAUUGCACAAUGGGCGCAAGCCUGAUGCAGCCAUGCCGCGUGUAUGAAGAAGGCCUUCGGGUUGUAAAGUACUUUCAGCGGGGAGGAAGGUGUUGAGGUUAAUAACCUCAGCAAUUGACGUUACCCGCAGAAGAAGCACCGGCUAACUCCGUGCCAGCAGCCGCGGUAAUACGGAGGGUGCAAGCGUUAAUCGGAAUUACUGGGCGUAAAGCGCACGCAGGCGGUCUGUCAAGUCGG